This is a non-coding RNA of Phasianus colchicus (ring-necked pheasant), 4361 nucleotides long. NCBI's taxonomy places the organism in Eukaryota, Metazoa, Chordata, Aves, Galliformes, Phasianidae. The record is from RefSeq and is a predicted model, not a curated record.
GCGGCCGCUCCGUGCGGAGGAGAUGGAGGCGGCCGUGCGGCGGCGGCCGCAGCCCGAGGAGCAGAGCGCGGCGAAUGGAGAGCGGCCGCCGGCCCUGUCGGGGCAGUCCUACUGGCUGGACCUGUGGCUCUUCGUCCUCUUCGACGUGGCGCUCUUCGUAUUUAUCUACCUGCUGCCCUGACGGGCCGGGCCCAGAGCCACGUGGAUCAGGAAUCACUGGACGCACCUUAGGAACACAAACGGGACCAUUUGGAGGAGAAGCAUUUGCACAGCAUAGACAGCAAUGGAGAACGAGGCUUUCCACUGAUGGAAAGGCAAGAAGCCCCGGAGCUGGAGAGAUGGGUGCAUGCUGUAUCACUGUACAGCCCGGGAUGUAUUACAAGUAUUGUCUUUAGGAUUGUGCCUGUAUCUUAUCUUUCCAUGUUCUAAACUGUGCCUUUCAGGACAGGAGAGAGUUUGACUGUGCUUUUGUAAUUCGCUUGAAGACUUGAGUAUAAAUGAAAAUAUGCACUGUUUGAAUAAAACCCAGCAGUCAGAGACUGAAAUUGUUACUGACUUAUUUGCUCAGAAGACGAAACUUAGCCCCUUUAUCUUGCUUUCAAAAAAUUAACACUCUCUGUACAGAAGUGCAUGUGAGAUUCUUGCUUCAGCAGUUACUGUGCCAGUGCACAGCAGUAGCUGCUGCCCUCACCUGCUGAUUUAGGUAAUACAAGUUCUGAUUUACACACUACAAGCAGCAAAGGAAGGAGCUUACAAGAGCAUUCUUAAGCAAUUGCCAGGUUUCACAUACCCACUCCCAUCAAAAAUUUCUAAGUCUCUGGCUAUGACGAGGCUUUCAAAAACAGUGUUGCAUCAGUGAACAUCUUGAAUGCUCAAGUUGCUUGCUGGACCAAUGAGGUUUUUAGGAAGACUGGAUGAAGGCACUUCAGCAUCUGUAUUCUUUAUUUUCAUCUUAUUAAUAAUUUGAGAAGUACAACUUGAUUUUUCAGAAAUAUAAAAUGUAACUGGAGUUCUGAGUUUGGUUGUUCCAGUAUUUUCUGAUACAACCUGACAAGAGCUUAUUUUCAUUUAAUACAAUAUUCAGGACACAGAAGUAGGUAUGCAUGCUCUAUUUUCUUUUUUUCAUUCUUAAGCAGUUCUUCAUUGAUGCUGGUUUUCAUUACAUAUUUAACUUGUGUAUUCAAAAACAAGACUGAUGCUUUAAGAACUGAGUUACCUUUAACUGCUAGUGCUUAUGACCUAUGAAAAUGUCAGUAGCUUAAAAGCUACUGGAAAAAAAAGUGAACAGGGAUUGGAUUCUCACAAAUGGGAAAAUGGUUUCCUUUUUUUUCUUCUACAACUGAACCGAACCUAUUAAAGAGGUAAGUUUACUUUUGUUCCCCCUUUUCCCCCAGAGAUUUCACUGUAAAGUCACAAAGGAACAAGCUACUAGAGGAACACUAAAACUCCUUCAUUUCUCCUUUGUAAGGAAGACCGUUGAGAAUAAGUCUUGACAGUUUUGACAGAAGAGAACCUAACGUAGUGAUUUAGUUUCUUUCAGUUAAGUCUGACAGAAAAGGUUUUACAUAUCUCGGAAAACUUAAAGCUAUCAAAGCACAGGCUUGUGAUGCUUUGAGCUCAAGCUAUUUCAUAGCUUGAAUAACUGCAAUACCUGAAUGUAAGCAUCAAGACAACCUCAUUUCUAACUAGUACAGCAAAACUGCACUAUAUUAUAUACUAUAUAUAUAGUACAGUAUACUAUAUUAGAAAGCCAACUUUAUAAACCAGUACUUCAGAUGAUGAAUUUUACUGUUUAAAUAUGGUCAGAGAACCACCAUCUCUUUAAAGCUUUCAAGCAUUACUAUUAGCUAUCAUUUUUAAAAAGUGUGGCUCUGGAAAGCCAGGGUGUGGUUUCAUUGUUGCAGGUUUACUUCUUGUUUUUAAGGAAAGCGCAGCAUACAAAAAGAAUACAGACAAAAGACAUUUUAUAUUUUUAUCUGAUAAUUUGAACAAGCAGAACUUUGCAAGAAAAUAAUUCUAAAGACUGAAAAAUAUAUUAAUUACAAGACUUAUUAAUGUAUUUACUGUUAAAAAUAUGUCUAGGCUCUUAUACAAAUCUAUAGCCAGGAAGGGACAUUUAUAAAAAAAUAAAUAGGCACCCUACGUAAGUCAAGACAAGUUAUCACUUAUUUGUUAGCAAAUAUUACAUACAUACAUGGAGUGCAGAGUCAAAUAUAAAAACAAAGGUGCCUUAAUUAGCUGUUUACUAUUAUAAUUAAACACCUGGUAAACAUGGGUCACAUAAAAAGUCGUCUGGUAAGAUUGUUUCAAGCAAAGCAAGAAGACAGAAGUACAUCUAAAUUACUGCAUCUACUUUAAAAAUAAGUUUUACCAGUUGUGCUCACUGGAAACCAAAUUCAUUGGCAUCAGUAACAGGCAUUCAUAUUGCUUGUUGUAUACAAGUAUGAACAUCGCUAUGCAUGUUUAAAAAUAACUGUUAUAACAUCAUUCACAGUUGUUGCUGUGCUAUUUAUACAUAAAAAUACUGUCAUUUCAAAUACAAUUUCUGCAAACAUUUUACAAAUUAUACAUUAUUUACAAAUUCCAUACUCUUCUUUGUUGUUGUUUUUUUUUUUUUUUACACAAGUAUUAGAAGACAGCUUUACUGAAAUGCUAUGUAUAGCAUGUAACAUUGCUGUAGGAACAUUAGAAAAAAAUUUACAAGAAAAAAAUUUACAAGUUUUGAAAUCUCUUUCAAAAGUAAGACAAUUAGGAUUCUUCCAAGGUUUUUCACACUCAAGGCUUUUUUUCUGGUUUGUUCACAAAAAGAUACUUUGUUUACCACCAACCAUUCCUAAACAUGCAUAAUUAUUUGCUACAAGCUCCAGAAUUCAUUUCUUCCUAUAACAAAUUCUCAUCAAUAAGGUAAAAAUAAGGUUCAUCUAAGAUACUUUGUUGCAUAUGUUGUGUUCCAGUUUGACUACAAGUUACAAGUAGUUUAAAACACUGACCAUGAAGAAUAACCAAAUGUAUAACUUUGUUUAUCUUAAAGAGUUCAACCAAAUGUCAACGUUUGGUUGAGGCCCUAAAACUCACACAUAAGGUAUAUAAACAUAAAAAAGCCUUUCUGACUAACAGUGCAAGCAUAAGCAAGAGUGUUUUCCAUGAAUAUUUAACUUGCUUGCAAUAUUUUCCUAACUAAAAGGCAUUUAUGUUUAGAUAUAGUCAGCAGCACCCCAUUUUUAAGAUAAAACUAACAGAAAUAACUUCAAAAUUCAGUCUUUCCAGAUUAAUUUUAAGUUAUACAUUACUUAGAAUAGACUGAAACAGAAUUCUAAGCCUAUGCUUCUGACUCAGCAACACAGAGUGGGUUAUUUCAAACACUCAGGGCUGCCAUGAGGGUAAAAUCCUGUUCACCCUGCUUUUUUUCCCACCUUCCACCUGUGCACUGAUUUAACAUAUAACCAAAUAAAAGAUUAAUUAAAAUUCUCUUCUGCUUUUUUACUGAAUUAAAUCGGAUUAGCAAAAGACACAGUAAAUGCCAAACCUGCCAAAACAGCAGGGCAGUGCUAGAACAGAGGAAGAAGCUUUUUUUUUUUCAUGCUACUCCAGUCUGAACAGCUGCAGGAUCAUUCGCACUUAAUUGCUAUAACAGUACUUAACUAUUUGUAGAAUUGUUUCAAAGAGGUAAAAUUUGUCAGUAAAAUCAUGUAUAAUCCCCACUAAAUGUUGCCAAAAACAUCAAGCUGAAAAGAUAAGUUGAAUAAAUAACAACAACCUCCCUAGGGACACUGUUAUCUAGCAUGCUGUGCAAUCUCAUCUUGAAAGACUCCAAUAAUAGGUUUUCAAGAUGUGGCUGAACAGAGCACUAGAUUAUCUCAAAGCUCCCUUUUCUCAAAAAAAAAAAAAAAAUUGGACAUGAUUAUCUUCUGAGAUCCCUCCCAACCUGGGCUUGGGCUGUUCUUUGCUUCCAUAAUUCUGAAACCUUGUAAAAAUACGCAUUUGAUAGUUGUAUAGUAAAUCUGUAUUUUAAAAUUAGCAUCACUACUGCUCUAUCAGUUUGUAGCUUAUAUAAUUGAAUUUCAGUAAGGAUACAGCUUACAGGAUAAACAAAUCUGAUAAGCAAGUUUAAGAAUUUGUACAGAGCAGGUAUAUUAAUAGGCUAGUAUUACUAUAGUUUACUUGGCACUAAUGCUGCACAGUAUGGAGCAGGGGAGGCAGGAACAAAGCAGGACAGCCAAGGGAGCCCUGCUCUUUCCUGCCUUGCAGCACUGGCAGCUCUAGGACUUCGCUGGGCUCCUUGUGCUUUUUUGGUGCCUCAGGAAAAGAAGACAUAAGCUGGUUAGCAGCAGGAAGGACAAGGGAGGGAGAAGGAUAAGAAG